RNAcentral lists this small nuclear RNA (23 nucleotides) under Arabidopsis thaliana (thale cress). RNAcentral describes it as "snRNA_14221". The record is from RNAcentral. Lineage: Eukaryota; Viridiplantae; Streptophyta; Magnoliopsida; Brassicales; Brassicaceae.
AGAUGCGCCUACCCCGCCUAAAU